Non-coding RNA from Myotis lucifugus (little brown bat), 75 nucleotides. NCBI's taxonomy places the organism in Eukaryota, Metazoa, Chordata, Mammalia, Chiroptera, Vespertilionidae. The record is from Rfam.
GGUGGUUCUUGGGUGAUGCACCCUGGAAUCGGUCUCCCUCCUCUCUGGUUCUGGGUGCAUCACCCAAGAACCACC